UUGACCUCGGAUCAGGUAGGAAUACCCGCUGAACUUAAGCAUAUCAAUAAGCGGAAAAAAAA
This 62-nucleotide ribosomal RNA is filed under the name Xylaria sp. S12. RNAcentral's name for it is "partial 28S ribosomal RNA". It matches the Rfam family "Eukaryotic large subunit ribosomal RNA", at positions 1 to 61 of the family's 3401-position model. The record is from RNAcentral. Lineage: Eukaryota; Fungi; Ascomycota; Sordariomycetes; Xylariales; Xylariaceae.